Molecule: non-coding RNA, 857 nt
Organism: Pantherophis guttatus
Lineage: Eukaryota; Metazoa; Chordata; Lepidosauria; Squamata; Colubridae
Source: RefSeq, a predicted model, not a curated record
CCAGAACCUGCUGGAUUUCACCCCUGGUGUGAUGGAAUAAUCAGACUGUAAUUCAAAUCUUUAUUGUAUCCACUCCGGCAGGCCUUGUGAAAGAAACAACCAAUGGCUCCACUGCUUUGCAACCCUGGCUGGUGGGAUUAACCGCUGUUACGGUCUUCUUGUUUGUGAUGUUCGUGGCAAACCUCAUCAAUCGGAUAUUUUUCUUCCAAAAAAAGGAUGACAAGGACGAGUUGGAGAACAUAGAGAUCAAGGGCAGCGCUGAGGAAAAUGUCUACGAAAACGAAGCAAUGGACUCAGAUGAGGAGAGUUUGCAAACCAAGAUAUAGAGAAUCAUAACAGCAUGUAAAAGGUCUUUAAGGGAAAGGAGGACCAGCUGCCAUUACAAAAUGACUGAAUUCGGAAUUAUCUGAAAGGCCUGGACAAGAAUUUCCAGAUUCAGGUGUUGUUGUUUUUUAAUCACCAGCACAUCACUGACCCCUCGAAAUUAGAUGAAACCAAAGCUAGCUCACAAUAGCAACGGACGUUGCCAGGGUGGUGACUACGUGAAUACAGGUAGUCCUCGACUUAUAACAGAUAAUUUAGUUACUCUUCAAAGUUAUAACAACACUGCAAAAAGUGACUUAUGUUAUGUCCAUUUUUCACACUUACGACCUUUGCAGCAUCCCCAUGGUCACGUGAUCAUGGGGAUCAUGAUCAUGGGGAUCAAGGGCCUGGUGGCUCAGCAGACUGAUAGCACUGUGAUUAACACCAGCUGUCUGCAAUUACUGUAGUUCGAAUCUCACCAGGCUCAAGGUUGACUCAGCCUUCCAUCCUUUCUAAGGUAGGUAAAUUGAGGACCCAGUUUGUGGGGGCAAUAA